UGCAGCCAAUGCAGCAACAUGGCUGAUGUUUGAUGGGUGCUGUGAGGCUCCUGCUCACCACCUGCUCUAUCACUACCCAGUACAGAGACAAAAAGUAGUUUGACAUUCAGUAGAAACCAUUUGGCUUAGGAAGAAAAGUGAAAGAAGUCCCAUCUCCAAAUAAAAUUAUCUCUGUACGCUACAUGGCUCUCUAAAAGCCUUAGAGAUCAUCACACCCUUGUUAUCAUAGCAGGAAAACAACCAUGCAAACAACAGUGAGCACUGAAAUAUUUGUGUGUCUGCUAUUGCUGAUCUGCUGAAUAGACAUGAUGGGAUAUGAUGAGAGAGUCAAAAUUCUUACAUAUGGGGGUGAGACAAAGAAGAAAAGGAGCUCCUUUGACUCUCUACUUGUCCAUGAUGGUCUUCAGGAUACGGGGAAUGUUACCUCUGUUGCAAACACGAAGCAGACAAAGCGCACCGAAAGAAAGUGGAAGAACUUCACUUACAAGAAGUAUUUUAAGUAAAAUUUAUACAGAAGGGUAAUGGCCCUAGAUUUUAGGAGAUCCUUUAUUCUUGCAAGCUUAAAACUCCAAGCGAGCUGAACUCUUGUGAUGGUAGAGGUUAGAGGAGACUGGUUCAGAGUGCAUUAUCUUGUAAGCAGUUUAGUGAUUUUCUCUUUUCUCUAAAAUGGUCAGAAAUCCUUUAUAGUAGGGGUGGUGAUAUCCCAUGCUAUAUGAUAUUGUUCUGCCUGUGCUUCUUUCUCCCUCCUGCCCAAUAUGUGUGUGUGUGUUUGGAUAAAAAGUCAGUGAGAGUC
This is a long non-coding RNA of Chiroxiphia lanceolata (lance-tailed manakin), 793 nucleotides long. RefSeq lists it as uncharacterized. NCBI's taxonomy places the organism in Eukaryota, Metazoa, Chordata, Aves, Passeriformes, Pipridae. The record is from RefSeq and is a predicted model, not a curated record. The transcript has 4 exons.